RNAcentral lists this ribosomal RNA (495 nucleotides) under uncultured bacterium. RNAcentral describes it as "partial 16S ribosomal RNA". It matches the Rfam family "Bacterial small subunit ribosomal RNA", at positions 30 to 507 of the family's 1533-position model. The record is from RNAcentral.
UGAACGCUGGCGGCGUGCCUAAUACAUGCAAGUCGAGCGAACGGACGAGAAGCUUGCUUCUCUGCUGUUAGCGGCGGACGGGUGAGUAACACGUGGAUAACCUACCUAUAAGACUGGGAUAACUUCGGGAAACCGGAGCUAAUACCGGAUAAUAUUUUGAACCGCAUGGUUCAAAAGUGAAAGACGGUCUUGCUGUCACUUAUAGAUGGAUCCGCGCUGCAUUAGCUAGUUGGUAAGGUAACGGCUUACCAAGGCAACGAUGCAUAGCCGACCUGAGAGGGUUAUCGGCCACACUUGAACUGGGACACGGUCCAGACUCCUACGGGAGGCAGCAGUAGGGAAUCUUCCGCAAUGAGCGAUGACCUGACGGAGCAACGCCGCUUGAGUGAUGAGGAUCUUCGGAUCGUAAAACUCUGUUAUUAGGGAAGAACAUGUGUGUAAGUACCUGUGCACAUCUUGGCGGUACCUAAUCAGAAAGCCACGGCUAACUACGUG